Molecule: long non-coding RNA, 1190 nt
Filed under: Anolis carolinensis (green anole)
Lineage: Eukaryota; Metazoa; Chordata; Lepidosauria; Squamata; Anolidae
Description: lncRNA (ENSACAG00000037712.1)
Source: RNAcentral
AUGUGUCUGAGGGUAGCUUUUGGAAAUAUUUUGAAGAAACUCACUAAAACAGAUUGGGAGACUUUUUGUUGUAUGAAGAAUUGUGACAAAGCUGCAAUAUUUUUCCCCUGAAAUAUUUGUUAAUCUCUGCUACAGAUACAUAGGCAUUUCCCCCUGCAAGCCUUUGCAAUCCCUAUGUACCUUUAUGUUUCUAUCUAUCUAUCUAUCUAUCUAUCUAUCUAUCUAUCUAUCUAUCUACAUUAAUUUUAUGUAUGAAUUUUCCCCUCAUAUGUUUGCAGAUCUUUGCAAAUCCUAUAUACAUAUAGAUCCAUGUACCUGUCUAUCUGUAUCCGUAUGUAUACAUUAUUUAACCUACUGAUGCCUCGAUUAAUGUAAUUUUAUUGGUAUCUAUUUUAUUUUGAAAUUGACCAGUAGCUGCUUCAUUUCCCACCCUCGGCUUAUACUCGAGUCAAUAAGUUAUCCCAGUUUUUUUGUGGUAAAAUAAGGUGCCUCGGCUUAUAUUCAGGUCGGCUUAUACUCGAGUAUAUACGGUACAUGGUGGAUCGUAAUGCAUUUCUUCUUCACACGAUGUUCCUGGGCAAUCUUUAAACAUUGUGGUUUGUAGCCAUUGCUACCUUGUCAAGAGAGGGAUAAAUGGAAAGGAGAAAACGGUAAAAACGUUUAUGUCCAAUGACGGCUGUUUUUGCCAUCCAAUUAAUGCAGGUCAGGACCGGGAUGUUAAUGUUUAAUUCCUGCAAGAUGUUAAUAGUUCCAGAGGGGCCUUUAUUUUGAAAAGCUGUUUCGGUAUUUGGGUCUGACCAUGCAAAGCAUUUGAAGUACAGUAGAGUCUCACUUAUCCAAGACUCGCUUAUCCAAGGUUCUGGAUUAUCCAAGGCAUUUUUGUAGUCAAUGUUUUCAAUAUAUCGUGAUAUUUCGGUGCGAAAUUCGUAAAUACAGUAAUUACUACAUAGCAUUAAUGUGUAAUGAACUACUUUGUCAAAUUUGUUGUAUAACAUGAUGUUUUGGUGCUUAAUUUGUAAAAUCAUAACCUAUUUUGUUGUUUAAUAGGCUUUUCCUUAAUCUCUCCUUAUUAUCCAAGAUAUUCGCUUAUCCAAGGUUCUGCCGGCCCGUUUAGCUUGGAUAAGUGAGACUCUACUGUACUGUAAUUCAUUGUAUUGUCGAAGGCUUUCAUGGCCGGAAUCACUGGAUUG